RNAcentral lists this ribosomal RNA (549 nucleotides) under bacterium enrichment culture clone Cont200_3130. RNAcentral's name for it is "bacterial SSU rRNA". It matches the Rfam family "Bacterial small subunit ribosomal RNA", at positions 8 to 525 of the family's 1533-position model. The record is from RNAcentral.
AGAGUUUGAUCCUGGCUCAGAAUGAACGCUGGCGGCGCGCUUAACACAUGCAAAGUCGUACGAGAAAAUCCGCCUUCGGGUGGAAAGUAAAGUGGCGCACGGGUGAGUAACGCGUGGGUAAUCUACCCUCGAAAUGGGGAUAACAUACCGAAAGGUGUGCUAAUACCGAAUAAGACCACGAUCACUCCGGUGAUCGGGGUCAAAGAUGGCCUCUGCUUGCAAGCUGUCGUUUGAGGACGAGCCCGCGUACCAUUGGCUUGUUGGUGGGGUAAUGGCCUACCAAGGCAACGAUGGUUAGCUGGUCUGAGAGGAUGGCCAGCCACACUGGAACUGGAACACGGUCCAGACUCCUACGGGAGGCAGCAGUGAGGAAUUUUGCGCAAUGGGGGAAACCCUGACGCAGCAACGCCGCGUGAGUGAAGAAGGCCUUCGGGGUUGUAAAGCUCUGUCAAGUGGGAAGAAUCUUUUUUCGGGUCGAAUAAGCCGAAAGACUGACGGUACCGCUGAAGGAAGCACCGGCUAACUCCCGUGCCAGCCGCCGCGGUAAUA